This is a non-coding RNA of Phoenix dactylifera (date palm), 29956 nucleotides long. The record is from RefSeq and is a predicted model, not a curated record. NCBI's taxonomy places the organism in Eukaryota, Viridiplantae, Streptophyta, Magnoliopsida, Arecales, Arecaceae.
GGCGGGAUGGAGCGUUCGGUUUUUCUCCUGGUUCUUUUUUUUUUCUUCUGGUUCUUAGGUGUGUCGUUCUUCUCCUUCCCCGUUAGAUUUUGCGGUUCUUUAGAUGUUUUGGAAGAUUUUACGGUUCUUUAGCCAUUGUUUUUGGGAUCUUAGGUUUCUCUUGCUUGUAUUUGGAUUUUUGUUUGGGUACGUGGCUUUCGAUUUCUUGAAUUGGAGAUUCUUGAAAACUAGUUCUUAUUGAAUUGGGGUUUCUCGUAAACGAUUUAUAGUAUUUUUUGGUUGAUAAUUUGAUUUAGGUCUUCGAUCAAAAAUUUGAUCUACGGUUUUAGAAUAGAGAAUUAUUGAUUUAUGGGAUUCUUUGGUUGAUAGUUUGAUUUAGGUUUUCUGCCAACAAUUUGAUUUAUGGUUUCAAGAAUGCUUUGUUCUUAUUCGAGGAUCUGUGAUACUUUAAUUUACUGAUUUGGGAUUUUUUGAAUGGUAUAGGUCUUCGGUCAACAAUUUGAUAUAGGCUUUUCAGUAUUGAGAAUGAUUGAUUUAAAGGAUUCUUGGUUGAUAAUUUGAUUUAGUCCUUCGGCGAACAAAUUGAUUUAGGGUUUCCAGAUUCAGGCAUGCUUGUUCUUAUUUGAGGAUCUGUGACAUUUAAUUUACUGAUUUUGGAUUUCUUGAGAGGAAUUUAGAGCGUCCCUUGGUUGCUAGUUUGUUAUAGGUUUCAAAUUUUGCUCUUUGGUACAUGUUCUAGGGUUCCUAUAAGCUUGGACCAUAUGGUUUUAUUUGUGGUCUAUUGCCUCUGUUCUGGAUUUGGGCCUCUAUGAGCAGGGGUUUUGAGGGAUCUUCUAUUAGUGAUUUAGGUUUCCAAGAAUUUGUCAUGAUCUGUUUUUUUUGAUGAUCUGCAGCCUUUGAUCUAGUGUUUUCUUUCAGAAUUUGCAAUAUUCUGUGAUUGAUUAAUCGCUUUCAGGUUGAUUUAGAACAUCUUGUUUUUGGUUGAAGUGCAAUGUCGGUUGCAUAGUGGUAACUGGUUGGUGUUAUUAUAUCGUUUCGGUAUACUGACGAGUUAUGGUUUUGUGGAGCACCAGAGAAGUUUUGUUGCCACAACCUUAGGAGUUCUUGAUUUUCACAUCUAUGGUCCUGGUUUUUUUAUUAUAUGAUUUUUGUACGGAUGUUCUGAUGUUUGGGUUUUUUCUGUGUUCCUGAUAUUGGGCAGUUUUCUUGUUCUGGGACCAUCAAGAAUUCCUGAUGGAUGCCAUAUCUAAUUCUUCAUUAGCAGGUGUUUAUAAUCUGUUGAAUUGGCAAGCUGCUUUUUAAUGAUUAUUUUGUUGUUACUGCACUUGUAUGUCGGGUUGAGGAGGGCUACUUCUUUGUUCAAGGGGUUAUACCUUAAUUUAUAUGGAAUUGGAAAGUUGGAAAAUCAAGCUGCUUCAAUAUGUCAUAAUUGGCUCCAAGUAUUAUUAUGGGGAGUUCGAUUGGUUAAAUCUUCCUUUAUGCCUUUAGUUGCUUGAUUUUGUAGUUCAUCUGUUCAAUGGUCUUUUUUGCAGUUUUGUUCUUUUUUAGCUGAUCUGUCUAUGUUGACAUGCUCCUCAUUUCUUGACUGUAUCUCAAGAUAUCCAUUCUCAUAAUUUGCAAGUCUUGGUAAACAAGGCAAACAAUUUCUUGUGCAUGUUGGAAGAGUUUGUCAAAAUUCAAUUUGUUUCAUUUCUCUUAGAGAUUGAGAUACAAUAAGUAUGCCAAAUUUAGUCUGAUGGCCAGUUGGUCUUUGUGCUGUGGAUUGCUGAGGUUUGGAAAUAUCAAAUUUUCAGUUAUUGGGGAAGAGCUCUGUUUCUUACCCGAAAUUAUAUUAAUUUUAUCCUUUUAUGAAUUCUCCUUUUGUAACUUUUUUUUUGGCUUAUCAGGGCCGCACCUAUAUGGAGUUUCUAAUUAGAACUUGAGAUGUCCUUAGUUUGGAUAUGACUCUGUUUACUGCUGUAUGGCUUGAAAAUGUUUGAUGCACAAAGAGACAUUUUCUUUUUGUUGUUUAUAUUGUAUCUGCUAUACUUGGUUUAAAGGGUUCUUCACUGAGGUCAAAAUAAAAAUGGUUCUGUUUACUGCUGUAUGGCUUGAAAAUGUUUGAUGCACAAAGAGACAUUUUCUCUUUGUUUUUUAUAUUGUAUCUGCUAUACUUGGUUUAAAGGGUUCUUCACUGAGGUCAAAAUAAAAAUGGUUCUAAAUUCCUUGAUGUCCUUUUGAUUUCAUGAUAGUUCUAGAGAUUCUUGCUGAUGUUCUUAUAAGAGGGGAAACUACGGAGUAGGUGGUUCUAUUUUGUCCUGAUAUUUCCUUGGGUUAGUAAUUUUGGCUUUCUUGUUUGCUUUGAUUAGUUUUUGUGCUACAUUUCUUGGUGAUUGUUUUUAUUUGGUUCGUCAAUAUCUUGAUUUAAUUAUUGACUAAGGUAGUAUAAUUUUUCAGAACAAAGAUAUGGCUGGAGUUAAGAUACGAUUAUGUCCCCCAUAUUAUAUUUUCAGCCUAGCAAAACUCAAUGCUGGUGGGGGUCUUUUUCUUCUUCCUAGGGAUUUAGUGGAGUCACGCAUUCUCACUGUUUUGCCGAUCUUUAUUCUGGUUGAAUGCUUAUCAUAGGCAAUCUGUCCAUGAUCUUGUCAAAUUUGGAGCAUUUUGGGCUUUUCAUUUGGUCAAUAUGUUUUGUUUAUUCAUUUAUAGUUCACAUAUUCCAGUUAUUGUUUUAGGCUUUACUGCUUGGUGAUUCUUUUGUUUGUCUAACAGUAUCGCGGUUUCAUCUUUGACUAAUGUGGCAUCAUAUACCAAAAUACAAUAUUGCAGGGUUGUAGUUGAAAGAAGGUUGUUUACAGAGGAGGGUGUUUCUAAUCUCAUAUGGAUUGUGUCUAUUAAUUUUUUUCCCUAGUGGUUGUUGCGGCAUUGCAAGAUUCUCUAAUUCAUGGGGAUCUGGAAGUACAUUUGACUUGAUGAUUUUCUUGGUAUCACUCUUGCUAGUUGUGUACUCUUAAGUUUUGUCACGUUAAGUUCUAUGCUUGACAACUCAUUUCUCGUGCAGUGAGGUUUAUGUCUUUCCUAUAUCAUUGAAUUCCUUACCAUGGACUUAUUGGCAGGGACCUGCCCACCACCUAGGUUCUUAACAAUUAAUUCUUUUUACCGGGUUUCCUGACAUUGAAUUUUGUUUCAAUUACCAACUCAACCAGUUGGGAUAUGGCUGUUCAGUAAAUGGACUUGUGGUUUACAUUAUCUUUUUGGUCCCUCAAUGCUUGUCUUUGUUAUAUAAUCUUUAUUUUUCCUAAAAUUAUUAACUAAAUAAUGAUAUUAAUCAGCAUUUUGUUGCUUUAUGUUUAGCAAUGGAAUGAUGUUUGCUGCUCAGGAUCUCCCCCUCCCCCCUUCUUUUUUUAAAAAAAACACACUCAUGUGGUGCCAUGAGCCAAAAUAAUGAAUAUAUAGGUGCUAGUGUCAAGAUUUCGUCUUCAAUGCAGGGGUUUCCUAUAGUUGAUACUGAUGUACAUAAAGUGGUACAUUUUCUUGAGUCCCACCAGCAGGCCAGAAUAUUAUCAUUGCUUUUAUUGCAGUUUCGCAGGAGGCUUUGCUGAAGAGGUUUUCUUUUUUCAGGAGUACCAGGUUUUGCUCAAGAGGAUUCUUUCCUUAAGAAUGUUUGUUAUCGUGUAUGUUGCGGUUAUUGUGUUCCAGCCUUUAUUGUCUAAUGAUGCAGUAAUUUAUGUUUAGUUUACGCAUUGGGUUACAGAUGGAGCAGAUUUUUAGAAAUUAUGGAUUUGGUUGAUUGCAAUGAGUUUCAUUCUCUUAUAUGAUGGACAACUGCUCCUCUUCUUCUGUUUCUUUAAUCAAGAUUGUGAUCCAGUCACACUCCUUGGUGGUACAGCUACGUGGAUGGAUAGGCUCGAGAUAUGUUUGCAGCGAGCUUCAUUUCCUUUUCUUGUAUAUGAGGUCCUCUUUUCCUUCUGUCUCUUUCAUCAGGAUGCUGAUCCAGUCGUCAGUUUUCCAUAGUCAUAAUGCUACUGUGCAUGGAUUGGCUUCAUGCAUGGUUUUGACGAGUGAGGUUUUUCAUCCUAUAGCGAAGGUAUGGAAGACGAUAUGGCUUUGCUGGCUGGAUUUGCUUCGUAUAUGGUUUUCAUGGGCGACAUUUUUCAUCCUGCUGCAAAGAUAUGAAAUGAUAUAUUUCCCAGGUUGCUCACUCAGGGCGUGGAGUGAUCACUGUUUCUUCAGUCCCAGUCCUGCCUGAGCUUGUAGUGGUGGAGACAUAUUUUGUAGUGGGUAGUUCUCAAGAUCUUGGACUUGUCAAAUUUUCAUGGAUCUCAUUUAUGGUUGUCAGCUUUUUGGGUUCUUAAAGAAUUGAUUUUGGGUUUUGAGGGAUCUUCUGUUAUUGAUUUAGGUUUCCAAGAAUUUGUCAUGAUUUGCUUUUGUUUGAUGAUCUGCAGCCUUUGAUAUAGUGUUUUCUUUCAGAAUUUGGAAUAUUCUGUGAUUGAUUAAUAGCUUUCAGGUUGAUUUAGAACAUCUUGUUUUUGGUUGAAGCGCAAUGUCUGUUGCAUAGUGCUAACUUGUUGGUGUUAUUAUAUCAUUUUGGUAUACUGAUGAGUUAUUGUUUUGGGGAGCACCAGAGAAGUAGUGUUUCCACAACCUUAGAAUUCCUGAUGGAUGUCAUAUCUAAUUCUUCAUUAACAGGUGUUUACAAUCUGUUGAAUUGGCAAGCUGGUUUAUAAUGAUUAUUUUGUUGUUACUGCAGUUGUAUGUCGGAUUGAGGAGGGCUAUUUCUUUGUCCAAGGGGUUAUACCUUAAUUUAUAUGGAAUUGGAAAGCUGGAAAAUCAAGUUGCUUUUAUAUAGUUUGAGGCAAUACGUCAUAAUUGGAUCCAGGUAUUAUUAUAGGGAGUUCAAUUGGUUAAAUCUUCCUUUAUGCCUUUAGUUGCUUGAUUUUGUAGUUCAUCUGCUUGAUGGUAUUUUUUGCAGUUUUGUUCUUUAUUAGCUGAUCUGUCUAUGUUGACAUGCUCCUCAUUUCUUGACUGUAUCUCAAGAUAUCCAUUCUCAUAAUUUGCAAGUCUUGGCAAACCAUUUCUUGUGCAUGUUGAAAGACUUUGUCAACAUUCAUUUUAUUUCAUUUCUCUUAGAGAUUGAGAUACAAUAAGUAUGGUAAAGAAAGCAGGUUCCAGUUUAGUCUGAUGGCCAGUUGGUCUUUGUGCUGUGGGAUUGCUGAGGUUUGGAAUUAUCAAAUUUUCAGUUAUUGGGGAAGAACUCUGUUUCUUACCCUAAGGGCCUAAACUAUAUUAAUUUUGUCCUUUUUGUAGUUUUUUUUUGGAUUAUCAGGGCCGCACCUAUACGGAGUUUCUAAUCAGAACUUGAGAUGUCUUUGGAUAUGACUCUGUUUGCUGCUAUAUGGCUUGAAAAUGUUUGAUGCACAAAGAGACAUUUUCUCUUUGUUUUCUCCUACCUCCCUCCCUCCCUCUCUCUCUCACAGUUUUUUAUAUUGUAUCUGCUAUACUUGGUUUAAAAGGUUCUUCACUGAGGUUAAAAUAAAAAUGGUUCUAAAUUCCUUGAUGUCCUUUUGAUUUCAUGAUAGUUCUAGAGAUUCUUGCAGAUGUUCUUAUGAGAGGGGAAACUACUGAGUAGGUGGUUCCAUUUUGUCCUGAUAUUUCCUUGGGCUAGUAAUUUUGUUGUCUGCUUUGAUUAUUCUUUUGGGCUACAUUUCUUGGUGAUUGUUUUUAUUUGGUUCAUCAAUAUCUUGAUUUAAUUAUUGACUAAGGUAGUAUCAUAUUUCAGAACAAAGAUAUGGCAGGAGUUAAGAUAUGAUUGUAUGAGGGGAAAUAUGACUUUAAUGGAUUUUGUCCCCCAUAUUAUUUUUUCAGCCUUGCAAAACUCGAUGCUGGUGUGGGUCUUUUUCUUCUUCCUAGGGAUUUAGUGGAGUCUUGCAUUCUCACUGUUUUGCCAAUCUUUAUUCUGGUUGAAUGCUUAUCAUAGGCAAUCUGUCCAUGAUCUUGUCGGAAUUGGAGCAUUUUGGGUGGUUCAUUUGGUCAAUAUGUUUUGUUUAUUCAUUAUAGUUCACAUGUUCCAGUUAUUGUUUUAGGCUUUACUGCUUGGCGAUUCUUUUGUUUGUCUAACAGUAUCGCGGUUUCAUCUUUGACUAAUGUGACAUCAUAUACCAAAAUACAAUAUUGCAGGGUUGUAGUUGAAAGAAGGUUGUUUACAGAGGAGGUGUUUCUAUCUCAUAUGGAUUGUGCCUAUUAAUUUUUUUCCCUAGUGGUUGUUGCGGCAUUGCAGGAUUCUCUAAUUCAUGGGGAUCUGGAAGUACAUUUGACUUGAUGAUUUUUUGUGUCUAUUAAUUUUUUUCCCUAGUGGUUGUUGUGGCAUUGCAGGAUUCUCUGAUUCAUGGGGAUCUGGAGGUACAUUUGACUUGAUGAUUUUCUAAGUAUCACUCUUACUAGUUUGUGUACUUUUAAGUUUUGUCCUGUUAAGUUCUAGGCUUGGCCGCUCAUUUCUCGUGCAGUGAGGUCUAUUUAUUUCCUAUAUCAUUGAAUUCCCUAUCACGGACUUAUUGGCAGGGACUUGCCCACUCCCUAGGUUCUUAAAAAAUAAUUCUUUUUUGCGAGUUUUCUGACAAUGAAUUCGGUUUCAAUUACCAACUCAACCAGUUGGAAUAUGGCUGUUCAGUAAAUGGACUUGUGGUUUACAUUAUCUUUUUGGUGCCUCAAUGUUUGUCUUGUUAUAUAUUCUUUAUUUUUCCUAAAAUUGUUAACUAAAUAAUUGAUAAUAAUCAGCAUUUUGUUGCUUUAUGUUUAGCAAUGGAAUGAUGUUUGCUUCUCAGGAUCUCCCACUCCCCCCUUCUUUUUUAAAGAAUAACACGCUGAUGUGGUGCCUUGAGCGAAAGUAACGAUAUAUAGGUGCUAGUGUCAAGAUUUCGUCUUCAAUGCAGGGGUUUCCUAUCUUUGAUACUGAUGUACAUAAAGCACCACAUUUUCUUGAGUCCCACUAGCAGGCAAGAAUAUUAUCGUUGCUUUAAUUGCAGUUUUGCAGGAGGCUUUGCUGAAGAGGUUUUUCUUUUUUCGGGAGUCCCAUGUUUUGCUCGAGAGGAUUCUUUCUUUUAAGAAUGUUUGUUAUCGUGUAUGUUGCGGUUAUUGUGUUCCAGCUUUUUAUAUCGAAUGAUGCGGUAAUUUUUGUUUAGUUUACAUUGGGUCACAGCAGGUGGGGAUUUUUAGAAAUUCUGGAUUUGGUUGAUUGUAAUGAGUUUCAUUCUCUUAUAUGAUGGACAACUGCUCCUCUUCUUCUGUUUCUUUAAUCAAGAUUGUGAUCCAGUCCAACUCCUUGGUGGUACUGCUACGUGGAUUGGUAGGAUUGAGGUAUGGUUGCAGCGAGCUUCAUUUCCUUUUCUUGUGUAUGAGGUUCUCUUUUCCUUCUGUCUCUUUCAUCAGUAUGCUGAUCCAGUCAUCAGUUUUCCAUAGUGAUAAUGCUACUGUGCAUGGGUUGGCUUCAUGCAUGGUUUUGAUGAGUGAGGUUUUUCAUCCUAUAGAGAAGGUAUGAAAGAGGAUAUGGCUUUGGUGGAUGGAUUGGCUUCGUAUAUGGUUUUCAGUCGUCCUGCUUUGGGAAAUGUUAUAUUUCCCAGGUUGGUACUCAGGGCAUGUAGUGAUUACUGUUUCUUCAAUUCCAGUCCUGCCUGAGCUUGUAGUGGUGGAGAUAUAUUUUGUAGUGGGUAGUUCUCAAGAACUUGGGACUUUGUCAAAUUUUCAUGGAUCUCAUUUAUGGCUGUUGGCUUUUUGGGUUCUUAAAGAAUUGCUUUUGGCAUUCAAUUUGGUUUAUGACUUAAAGAAUUGCUUUUCUGGCACUGUGCUUUCAGAGCAUCUUGGGAGUCAUCAACUUCUUGUCUUGCUUUUGUUGGACCGUAUUUGAAGUAUCUUUAGAUUAUAUUCUCUCUCAUUUUUUUAAACUUUCACUUCUUAGUUAUCUUAGUGAUGGGGAGCAAAAUGGAUCGGGCCAAAUUUGAACCCCAACACUUAGCUAUAUGGGCAAUGUAAAUGUCAGUUUCUAGGGAUCUGGACAUCGGUAUAGUUUUUCUGUUAGUGCUUUCAGAUUAUAUUGUACCAGAACAAUAACUGCCACUUAUGAGCGUCAUCGAAGUUGAUGGAUACAAGUGUUUGGUAAGUAGCACUUUAAUUAGCAAGUUGCACAUCUCGAUUCAUCAUCUCUCAUUUUCCUUUCUUUCCUUUUUGGCUCAUGUUAUGUUUCAUGUUUCAGCUAAGGGUGUUUCUUAUCUUUGUUGAUGUGGAUCAAUCAAAAUACUUUAUCAGUUUUUAUGGCGGGCAGAAUUUAAUAUCCUUGUUCUGGUCGAAUUUCAUAGAGGUUUUGCUCUAGCAGAUUCUUUUCAUUGAGGGGAGCUUUUGCUACUGGAUGUUGGUAUUAUUUGUCUGCUGGGCUCUAUCAUCUCAAUGCUUCAGUGAUCUAAAUGAUUUGGUGAGAUAUGUCAUCUUUUGAUCAGGGAAUGGAUGUGGAUCCUUAUGCACACCUUGGGCUACAAUCUAAAGAGUAUUGUUAGGAAUUUCAUUUUUCUGGAAAUUCUGGAUUUGGAUAUUUGCAAGGAGCUUCGUAUGUCUUCCCCUAGAGUCAAGGUUCUUCUUUAGAUUUUUUGAAGUUACCUGUCACCAAUAUUUCAUCAUCAAUUCCAUUUUUUUCAUCAUGUACUAUGGUUAAUAUAUCCAUUUUUUUUGCUAAGUCAUCCUCUUCAAUUAGUGCCCUGAAUCAAUUGGGAAAUUUCUGCAGCUUCAAUAUUGACUGAAGCAGUCAUAUGAAGUAAUUGGCUCAUGAUAUAAUUCUGAUGAAGGGGGGGUUUUACCUUAAAGUUUAUUAUGCAUAUUUUGUUAAAUGACAUUUAUUUAGUAGUCUUCUUACCAAAGCUGAUUAUUGUUUCUUGUUUCUUUGCAGCCUCUUGAGAGCGUGUCAUGGUAAUCCAGUUUGACUUAUGUAGAAUCUACAAAUUCCUUUUUCUUAACUAUCUGAAUAGGUAUCUUGGUUAUUGACACCUUGGGCUACAAUCUGAAGAGUCUUGUUAGGAAUUUCAUUUUUCUGGAAAUUCUGGAUUUGGAUAUUUGCAAAGAGCUCCAUCUGUCUUCCCUUGGAGUCAAGGUUCUCCUUUCUUUUUUAGAUUUUUUGAAGUUACUUGUCACUAAGAUUUCCUCAUCAAUUCCAUUAUUUUCAUCAUGUACUAUGGCUAAUAUAUCCAUGUUUUUUUGCUAAGUGAUCCUCUUCAAUCAAUGCCCUGAAUCAAUCAGCAAAUUUCUGCAGCUUCAAUAUUGACUGAAGCAGUCAUAUGAAGUGGUUGGCUCAAGAUAAUUUUCUGAUGAAGGGGGGUUUUUACCUUAAAGUUUAUUAUGCACAUUUUGUUAAAUGACAUUUAUUUAGCAGUCUUCUUACCAAAGCUGAUUAUUUUUUAUUUAGCAGUCCUCAACAUUUAUUAUUCACUUUGUCAACAUUCAUUUUAUUUCAUUUCUCUUAGAGAUUGAGAUACAAUAAGUAUGGUAAAGAAAGCAGGUUCCAAUUUAGUCUGAUGGCCAGUUGGUCUUUGUGCUGUGGAUUGUUGAGGUUUGGAAUUAUCAAAUUUUCAGUUAUUGGGGAAGAGCUCUGUUUCUUACCCUAAAUUAUAUUAAUUUUAUCCUUUUAUGAAUUGCCCUUUUUGUAGUUUUUUUUUGGAUUAUCAGGGCCACACCUAUACGGAGUUUCUAAUCAGAACUUGAGAUGUCUUUGGAUAUGACUCUGUUUGCUGCUGUAUGGCUUGAAAAUGUUUGAUGCACAAAGAGACAUUUUCUUUGUUUUCUCCUACAUCCCUCCCUCCCUCUCUCUCUCACAGUUUUUUAUAUUGUAUCUGCUAUACUUGGUUUAAAGGGUUCUUCACUGAGGUUAAAAUAAAAAUGGUUCUAAAUUCCUUGAUGUCCUUUUGAUUUCAUGAUAGUUCUAGAGGUUCUUGCAGAUGUUCUUAUAAGAGGGGAAACUACUGAGUAGGUGGUUCUAUUUUGUCCUGAUAUUUCCUUGGGCUAGUAAUUUUGUUGUCUGCUUUGAUUAUUCUUUUGGGCUACAUUUCUUGGUGAUUGUUUUUAUUUGGUUCAUCAAUAUCUUGAUUUAAUUAUUGACUAAGGUAGUAUCAUAUUUCAGAACAAAGAUAUGGCAGGAGUUAAGAUAUGAUUGUAUGAGGGGAAAUAUGACUUUAAUGGAUUUUGUCCCCCAUAUUAUUUUUUCAGCCUUGCAAAACUCUAUGCUGGUGCGGGUCUUUUUCUUCUUCCUAGGGAUUUAGUGGAGUCUUGCAUUCUCACUGUUUUGCCAAUCUUUAUUCUGGUUGAAUGCUUAUCAUAGGCAAUCUGUCCAUGAUCUUGUCGGAAUUGGAACAUUUUGGGUGGUUCAUUUGGUCAAUAUGUUUUGUUUAUUCAUUUAUUGCAUGUUCCAGUUAUUGUUUUAGGCUUUACUGCUUGGCGAUUCUUUUGUUUGUCUAACAGUAUCGCGGUUUCAUCUUUGACUAAUGUGGCAUCAUAUACCAAAAUACAAUGUUGCAGGGUUGUAGUUGAAAGAAGGUUGUUUACUGAGGAGGUGUUUCUAAUCUCAUAUGGAUUGUGCCUAUUAAUUUUUUUCCCUAGUGGUUGUUGCGGCAUUGCAGGAUUCUCUAAUUCAUGGGGAUCUGGAAGUACAUUUGACUUGAUGAUGAUUUUUUGUGUCUAUUAAUUUUUUUCCCUAGUGGUUGUUGUGGCAUUGCAGGAUUCUCUAAUUCAUGGGGAUCUGGAGGUACAUUUGACUUGAUGAUUUUCUAAGUAUCACUCUUACGAGUUUGUGUACUUUUAAGUUUUGUCCUGUUAAGUUCUAGGCUUGGCAGCUCAUUUCUCGUGCAGUGAGGUCUAUUUAUUUCCUAUAUCAUUGAAUUCCCUAUCACGGACUUAUUGGCAGGGACUUGCCCACUACCUAGGUUCUUAAAAAUUAAUUCUUUUUUGCGAGUUUUCUGACAUUGAAUUCCGUUUCAAUUACCAACUCAACCAGUUGGGAUAUGGCUGUUCAGUAAAUGGACUUGUGGUUUACAUUAUCUUUUUGGUGCCUCAAUGUUUGUCUUGUUAUAUAUUCUUUAUUUUUCCUAAAAUUGUUAACUAAAUAAUGAUAUUAAUCGGCAUUUUGUUGCUUUAUGUUUAGCAAUGGAAUGAUGUUUGCUUCUCAGGAUCUCCCACUCCCCCCUUCUUUUUUAAAGAAUAACACGCUGAUGUGGUGCCUUGAGCGAAAGUAACGAUAUAUAGGUGCUAGUGUCAAGAUUUCAUCUUCAAUGCAGGGGUUUCCUAUCUUUGAUACUGAUGUACAUAAAGCACCACAUUUUCUUGAGUCCCACUAGCAGGCAAGAAUAUUAUCGUUGCUUUAAUUGCAGUUUUGCAGGAGGCUUUGCUGAAGAGGUUUUUCUUUUUUCGGGAGUCCCAGGUUUUGCUCGAGAGGAUUCUUUCUUUUAAGAAUGUUUGUUAUCGUGUAUGUUGCGGUUAUUGUGUUCCAGCUUUUUAUAUCGAAUGAUGCGGUAAUUUUUGUUUAGUUUACACAUUGGGUCACAGCAGGUGGGGAUUUUUAGAAAUUCUGGAUUUGGUUGAUUGUAAUGAGUUUCAUUCUCUUAUAUGAUGGACAACUGCUCCUCUUCUUCUGUUUCUUUAAUCAAGAUUGUGAUCCAGUCCAACUCCUUGGUGGUACUGCUACGUGGAUUGGUAGGAUUGAGGUAUGGUUGCAGCGAGCUUCAUUUCCUUUUCUUGUGUAUGAGGUUCUCUUUUCCUUCUGUCUCUUUCAUCAGUAUGCUGAUCCAGUCAUCAGUUUUCCAUUGUGAUAAUGCUACUGUGCAUGGGUUGGCUUCAUGCAUGGUUUUGAUGAGUGAGGUUUUUCAUCCUAUAGAGAAGGUAUGAAAGAGGAUAUGGCUUUGGUGGAUGGAUUGGCUUCGUAUAUGGUUUUCAGUCGUCCUGCUUUGGGAAAUGUUAUAUUUCCCAGGUUGGUACUCAGGGCAUGUAGUGAUUACUGUUUCUUCAAUUCCAGUCCUGCCUGAGCUUGUAGUGGUGGAGAUAUAUUUUGUAGUGGGUAGUUCUCAAGAACUUGGGACUUUGUCAAAUUUUCAUGGAUCUCAUUUAUGGCUGUUGGCUUUUUGGGUUCUUAAAGAAUUGCUUUUGGCAUUCAAUUUGGUUUAUGAUUUAAAGAAUUGCUUUUCUGGCACUGUGCUUUCAGAGCAUCUUGGGAGUCAUCAACUUCUUGUCUUGCUUUUGUUUGACCGUAUUUGAAGUAUCUUUAGAUUAUAUUCUCUCUCAUUUUUUGAGCUUUCACUUCUUAGUUAUCUUAGUGAUGGGGAGCAAAAUGGAUCGGGCCAAAUUUGAACCCCAACACUUAGCUAUAUGGGCAAUGUAAAUGUCAGUUUCUAGGGAUCUGGACAUCGGUAUAGUUUUUCUGUUAGUGCUUUCAGAUUAUAUUGUACCAGAACAAUAACUGCCACUUAUGAGCGUCAUCAAAGUUGAUGGAUACAAGUGUUUGGUAAGUAGCACUUUAAUUAGCAUGUUUCACAUCUCGAUUCAUCAUCUCUCAUUUUCCUUUCUUUCCUUUUUGGCGCAUGUUAUGUUUCAUGUUUCAGCUAAGGGUGUUUCUUAUCUUUGUUGAUGUGGAUCAAUCAAAAUAUAUCAGUUUUUAUGGCGGGCAGAAUUUAAUAUCCUUGUUCUGGUCGAAUUUCAUAGAGGUUUUGCUCUAGCAGAUUCUUUUCAUUGAGGGGAGCUUUUGCUACUGGAUGUUGGUAUUAUUUGUCUGCUGGGCUCUAUCAUCUCAAUGCUUCAGUGAUCUAAAUGAUUUGGUGAGAUAUGUCAUCUUUUGAUCAGGGAAUAGAUGUGGAUCCUUAUGCACACCUUGGGCUACAAUCUAAAGAGUAUUGUUAGGAAUUUCAUUUUUCUGGAAAUUCUGGAUUUGGAUUUUUGCAAAGAGCUUCGUAUGUCUUCCCCUCGAGUCUAGGUUCUAUUUUCUUCUUUAGAUUUUUUGAAGUUACCAGUCACCAAGAUUUCACCAUCAAUUCCAUUAUUUUCAUCAUGUACUAUGGUUAAUAUAUCCAUUUUUUUUGCUAAGUGAUCCUCUUCAAUCAGUGCCCUGAAUCAAUCGGCAAAUUUCUGCAGCUUCAAUAUUGGCUGAAGCAGUCAUAUGAAGUAAUUGGCUCAUGAUAUAAUUCUGGUGAGGGGGGGGGGGGGGUUUACCUUAAAGUUUAUUAUGCAUAUUUCGUUAAAUGACAUUUAUUUAGUAGUCUUCUUACCAAAGCUGAUUAUUGUUUCUUGUUUCUUGGCUGCCUCUUGAGAGCGUGUCAUGGUAAUCCAGUUUGACUUAUGUAGAAUCUUCAAAUUCCUUUUUCUUAACUAUCUGAAUAGGUAUCUUGGUUAUUGACACCUUGGGCUACAAUCUAAAGAGUCUUGUUAGGAAUUUCAUUUUUCUGGAAAUUCUAGAUUUGGAUAUUUGCAAAGAGCUCCAUCUGUCUUCCCUUGGAGUCAAGGUUCUCCUUUCUUUUUUAGAUUUUUUGAAGUUACCUGUCACUAAGAUUUCCUCAUCAAUUCCAUUAUUUUCAUCAUGUACUAUGGCUAAUAUAUCCAUGUUUUUUUGCUUAGUGAUCCUCUUCAAUCAGUGCCCUGAAUCAAUCAGCAAAUUUCUGCAGCUUCGAUAUUGACUGAAGCAGUCAUAUGAUGUGGUUGGCUCAAGAUAAUUUUCUGAUGAAGGGGGGUUUUACCUUUAAGUUUAUUAUGCACAUUUUGUUAAAUGACAUUUAUUUAGUAGUCUUCUUACCAAAGCUGAUUAUUGUUUCUUGUUUUUUUGCAGCCUCUUGAGAGCGUGUCAUGGUAAUCCAGUUUGAUUUAUGUAGAAUCUACAAAUUUCUUUUCUUAACUAUCUGAAUAGGUAUCUUGGUUAUUGAUUUGGAUAGAUUUUGAAGAACUCGGACCUGAUUAAAUUUUAAUAGAUUUGUUUCAUAACCGAGGCUGAUUUGUCGUUGCCCGGUCCACUUGACCAGCCCAUCAAUAAGAUUGCCCUUUGCCAACAAUAAAGAAAAGAAAAAAAAAAGAAAGGAAAGUCAGGUGCGUGCCUUGCACGUGCCUAGCUACAGUAGACUCCUUCGACUACUCCAGUUGGGAGUCAAAGUCUAGAGGGCUGGAGGCUGGGAAACCCUAGCCCUCCACCUCAGUUUAAGGCAUCCCAUCCCCUUGAGGUUCUACCAUCCAACAUUGUUGGCCUCGUGCGCCUUCUUUUUCUCCUUUUUCAUCUUGAUUGCCGGUGUUUAGGUUCACCGUUGACUAUUCCCUUUCUCCUCCUUUUGAUAUUUAAAUAUGGAUUUAGUGCCUCUGAACCAGCAUUUAUUUAGUUGUUUCAUGAAUGAUGGUUUUGGAUUUUUGAUUUUGUUUUAAGAUUAUAAUUGUUGGCUUCGUAUUUUCAAGGGUUGUACCCCUCAGUAGUAUAGUCGUAUUAUGUUUCGGAUUUGGGGCUUGACAGAUUUUAACAUUUUAGUUUUGGAAAAUACUUGAUCAAUGCCUAUUAUAGGAUUUAUGACUUUCUUUUUGUUAAUUAGCCUUCUGAAUAGGUAUCUUGUUUGUUAAUUUGGGUAGAUUGUAAACUUUGAAUUUGUAACUGAGGUGAUCUUGUUCUGAUUCUGUCCUCCCUGUCCCCACCCCAUUUGAAGUUUGUUCACGGAAUAUACUUUUGGUUCAUGCUAUUGAAUAUAAUGUAGUUUGUGCAAGAAUUCUAGCAUGCACACUGUUUGCUUUUGUGAUAGGUAGGGGCUAGUAUGUUACUACAAAAAUGUUUAUUUGGUGUUUCAUUCUGAGGUUGGUUAUUUUGGUCCCUCCUUCAUUAUUUUUCUUGUAUUCUUUCAUUGACGUUCUUUUGGUUAUCAUUUCAUUAACACACGUACAUUAGCUGCCUUGCCAUGACAUUGAAGGCUGUGAACUGUUAAAAGAUUUAGAUUUUUAGGUUUUGGGAUUCAUAUGUUGUUUGAUGUUUUUUUGGAAUUAUGCUUUUGAAAAAAUUAUAUCAAGAUAAUUUCUUCUCAAUUAUGGUUGGUAUCCAGUUCACAAAGGCUAGAGUUUGAUGCUUUUCACAUAGGCCCUAUCAAGAUAGACCAUGAUAUCGUCCAUUGUUAUGGUAUUCUAGUCAUUGAGAAGAAAUUAUCAAGAUAGACCAUGAUAUCGUCCAUUGUUAUGAUAUCGUCCAUUGUUAUAGUAUUCUAGUCAUCUUGAAGGUACAUCACUAUUACUUAGUCUCAACUCAUUCUCGUGGCUUUCUAUUCUUUGUCACAUUGCUGCAAAACCUUUGAUCUUGAACUUUUCGAACAAAGACCUAUGUGAGAAGUUUUCAACUAUCUUUAUCGCUGGGGGUUGGCUAGGUUGUAUCUCCCUUUACUUUAGCAUGAAACACUCUAUUGGAUCGAUACAUCGAAUUUGACAAAUCAGCUUGAUUGUUGUUCUUAUGGAAGGUCGUUGUCCCGUAAUUACUGUUAUGAUUUUUCGUUUGUUGUUUGCUUGUGGUCCUACAACUUAGACACAUUUAAUAUUCAUCCAUUGUUCUAUACUUUGCUACAUAUUUUGUUCUUCUUCUGUGCUUUUCUUUCUCUUUUCUCAUUUCUUUUAAAUGGAUGGUUGCUGUUGUAUUUUAAUGUGACGAGAGUUUUGGUCCUGCUUGCAUGGCGGUUUGGGUUGUAUCUUUUGCACGAAAGAGUAAUUGAUCUUCUUUUGCAACAUCAACUGUUGGAUCGCACCUGGCUCUCAAAACACUUUGAAUUAUAUCCAGUUAUCGCUAUAUAUAUCUCAAAGUGACCAUUGCUCGAUCUGAUUGUGAAUUUGUGCAAAGGUGAGUCCUUUCGCAUAAUUUUCUUGCUGUCAUAGUGAUCCAUGUCAUCUGUCUUAUUUUCUUGUGGUUUUCCAGCUCAGACUUAAUUUAAGUCAAUGUUUUCUAUUGUCAUGUUUUUCUUUUUUCAGGCGAAAAAAUUUGCAUUGGACUAUUGGUGAUGUAUUUUAAUGGGAGUAAAGUUUUGGUCAUGCAUGUAUGGUGGUUCUUUUAUUCCUGUCACAGUGGUUAUCUAUUUCCUGUCUGCUCAUGUUUUUCCAGCUUAGACAUGUUCGUUGUUCAUCUUUGAUGUUAGAUUGUGAUGUUUCUAUACAAAAUAUUGAGGUUUCAUCUUGUGCGGUGAUUUUGGGGCCUAUACAAUUUAUCAUUCACUAAAUCUCGACUGCUAGACAUGCCCAAUUAGUUCAACUUAUUGGCAUGAUAGUGGAUUGGAGCACCCUGUGGCGGGUAUAAGAGAAUUAAGCAUAUAUUAACAAAGGAUACUUUCCAUUAACCAUUGCACUAUAGUCUUGUAGGGCAUCUUUCUUUGCCCAGUAUACUACUACAAGCUGGAAGAUGCUGUUGAUUACUUGCCCCAAAUGGAAAUGCUAUACAAAUCAUAUGCUAAUCAAAACUCUUAAAUUUAGAGCUCAGAGCAAAGACAUGACAAUAACUCAUAUUAUGUGGAUGCAAAACACACUGAGGCUCAGCAGCCUCAUCUCCUUAAAUAAAAAAAAAUGCCUAAUGAUACUCUGGCAAUUUUGAUGCUCGAUGUCUCCAUGCAGUGGUGCAUCGAGCAGCUUUGAAUCUCGAUAUAGUGCCAUCGAGCAGCUCUGAAUCUCGAUAGAGGGUUCUUUCUGGUUCAUUAUUGUUGUUAUAAUCAUUUAGGUUGUUGUUACGGUUGGAGUUGGCAAUGAAAGUUGCAUUACUUGAUUGGAGAUAUUGGACGCAGGAAGUUAGAUGGGACAGCUCCAAUAUUGCAGGAAUGUGUUUCGUACGGAAUGCAUUGGGCAGGGCUGAAUAUGUCCUUGUUGCUCCGGCUGUAGGUCAUUUGCGAUUAAUAUUGAGUCAUUAGGUAGAAUUUUGGUUGUGGGUGUGCAUUAUGGUUCUUUUAUGGCUGUCAUGGCAUGCUAUGUCAUCCUAAGACAUUCAAUAUUAAGUUAUCAUGCUAUACUCAUCCUUUCUUCUCUCUUUUAAGAAAAAAAUACACGCACUUGUGAAUAUUUUUUUUUUCUUUUUUGUGGAAUUUAACAUCGAUACAUCUUUAUUUUUUGGGGGAAAAACACAUGGACUGGAUGGUGAUGUAUUUCAAUGUGAGAAGAGUUUUGGUCAUUCAUGCAAGGUGGUACUUUGAUUGAUGUCAUGGUAAUCUCUUUCUUGUUUACUUGCAGUUUUCAGAGCUAUAGUUCUAUAUUUCUUUUUUUUUUAUUUUUUCAGAAUCUUUAUUUUCUUAUUUAUUUUUCUCUUUUUGGGAGAAAAAACACAUGCAUUGGACUGUUGGUGAUAUAUUUUAAUGCGUGCGGAGUUUUGGUUGUUCUUGGUGAUUCCUUGAUUGCUGCUAUGGUGUUCCCUUUCUUGUUGCCUUGUGGUUCUCCAGCUUAGACACGUUUAUUAUGAAGCCAUUGUUCUAUGCUCCGUUUCCCGUUCAGAAAAAUCAUAUGCAUUGGACUGUUGAUGAUGCAUUUUCUUCUUCUUUUGUACUUAUCUUUUUCUCUCUUUGCGAAUGGAUGAUCGGUGUUGUAUUUUGAUGCAACUAAAGUUUUAGUCAUGUUUGCAUGGUGACUCUUUUAUUGCUAUCAUGGUAAUCCAUGUUUUGUGUCCUGUUUGCUUGUGGUUUUUCCUUUUGACUCAAUAUUUAAAUCGUUGUCCUACAGUCAUCUUUUCUUUUUUGUAGAAGAAAAACAUGCAUUGGACUAUUGGUGAUGUAUUUUGAUGGGAGUAGAGUUUUGGUCGUAUGCAUGUGGUGGUUCUUUUAUUCCUGUCGUAAUGGUCCAUGUUAUUUGUUUCCUGUUUGCUUGUGGUUUUCCAUCUUAAAGACACAUUCUAUGUUAAUCAUUGAUGCUAGAUUGUGAUGUUCCCAUGCAAAAUACUGAGGUUUCAUUUUGUGUAGUGAUUUUGUGGCCUACGCAAUUAUCAUUCACUAAAUCUUGACUGUCAGAUUACACACAACUAAGUUGCCCAACUAAUUCAACUUAUUGGCAUGGUAGAGGAUUGUGGCACCCCACAAACGCUUAUUGGUGAAUGCCCAUGUCCUCUGAUGUUUGGGUUUGCGUCUUCCUGUGUUUUGCCAUAUGCAGAGUUAUGUUGUGUGUCCUAUUAAUUUGAUCAUCUGGCUUGUAUGUUUAUGGUAUAUGAAAGAUGAAUCCAGUGAGUGGGCAAGCAAUCAUUUAUGGUAUAUGAAGCUAUUGUUCUGUGAUCCUUUUUCCGUUCAAAAAAAUCAUAUGCGUUGGACUGUUGGUGAUGUAUUUUCUUCUUCUUUUGUACUUAUCUUUUUCUCUCUUUGUGAAUGGAUGGUUAGUGUUGUAUUUUGAUGCAACUAGAGUUUUAGUCAUGCUUGCAUGGUGGCUCUUUUAUCGCUAUCAUGGUAAUCCAUGUUUUGUGUCCUGUUUGCUUGUGGUUUUCCCGUUUGACUCAAUAUUUAAAUCGUUGUCCUAAGGCAAUCGUAGACUAAAAUCCUAUGAAGACAACAUUAAACGUAUUAUCAUUCUGUUUUGUUAUAGGGCCUAAGCGGUUCAAUAAUAUUAAAUGUGAAGAGAGCGAUUGAUCUAGUGAAGUUGCAUCUAACUGAAAGUUUGAGGCCUUGAAUUAUCCCUUGGCGAGUAGGAAUGUAAUGUUUGUGGUCUCGUUUGGAAGCAAUCUUUGAUGAUCAAGGAAUGUAAUGCUUUUUUUUUUUUCUGAACGACUAUUUUGUUUAUGUGGAUUUUCUAGCUCUCUUGGAAGUUCACUUAAGCCACCUAAGUGUCUAGAUCAAAGUUUGCCUUACUGGUCAGUACUGUACCAUAUCGGAUUUAUUGUACCAUAUUGGUAUCGAAUCAGUAUGUUGUUCUCGUACUGUAUCAACAUUUGGUACGUGUUGCCGUUUCAUACUGUAUCAUAUACUAAUAUUAUAAUAGGAUGGCAUCAGUAUGUGUUGUUCUCGUACUAAAUGGAUGGUUGCUGCUGUAUUUUAAUGGGACGAGAGUUUUAGUCAUGCUUGCGUGGGGGUUUGGGUUGUAUCUUUUGCAUGAAAGGGUGCUUGAUCUACUUUUUGCGACGUCAACUGUUGGAUCGCGCCCGUCUCUCAAAGCACUUUGAACUCUAUCAUAAUCUGUUGAAUUGGCAAGCUGCUUUAUAAUGAUUAUUUUGUUGUUACUGCAGUUGUAUGUCGGGUUGAGGAGGGCUACUUCUUUGUUCAAGGGGUUAUACCUUAAUUUAUAUGGAAUUGGAAAGUUGGAAAAUCAAGCUGCUUUUAUAUAAUUUUAGGCAAUAUGUCAUAAUUGGCUCCAGGGUUGUAGUUGAAAGAAGGUCGUUUACAGAGGAGGGUGUUUCUAAUCUCAUAUGGAUUGUGUCUAUUAAUUUUUUUCCCUUGUGGUUGUUGCGGCAUUGCAAGAUUCUCUAAUUCAUGGGGAUCUGGAAGUACAUUUGACUUGAUGAUUUUCUAGGUAUCACUCUUGCUAGUUGUGUACUUUGAAGUUUUGUUAUGUUAAGUUCUAUGCUUGUUAGCUCAUUUCUCAUGCAGUGAGUUUUAUUUCUCUCCUAUAUCAUUGAAUUCCUUAUCAUGGAUUUAUUGGCAGGGACCUGCCCACUACCUAGGUUCUUAACAAUUAAUUCUUUUACCGAGUUUCCUGACAUUGAAUUCUGUUUCAAUUACCAACUCAACCAGUUGGGAUAUGGCUGUUCGGUAAAUGGACUUGUGGUUUACAUUAUCUUUUUGGUCCCUCAAUGCUUGUCUUGUUAUAUAAUCUUUAUUUUUCCUAAAAUUAUUAACUAAAUAAUGAUAUUAAUCAGCAUUUUGUUGCUAUAUGUUUAGCAAUGGAAUGAUGUUUGCUGCUCAGGAUCUCCCCCUCCCCCCUUCUUUUUUAAAAAAUAACACACUGAUGUGGUGCCAUGAGCCAAAAUAACGAAUAUAUAGGUGCUAGUGUCAAGAUUUCGUCUUCAAUGCAGGGGUUUCCUAUCUUCGAUACUGAUGUACAUAAAGUGGUACAUUUUCUUGAGUCCCGCCAGCAGGCAAGAAUAUUAUCAUUGCUUUUAUUGCAGUUUCGCAGGAGGCUUCGCUGAAGAGGUUUUCUUUUUUCAGGAGUACCGGGUUUUGCUCAAGAGGAUUCUUUUCUUAAGAAUGUUUGCUAUCGUAUGGAGGAGAUUUUCAGAAAUUAUGGAUUUGGUUGAUUGCAAUGAGUUUCAUUCUCUUAUAUGAUGGACAACUGCUCCUCUUCUUCUGUUUCUUUAAUCAAGAUUGUGAUUCAGUCACACUCCUUGGUGGUACAGCCACGUGGAUGGGUAGGCUCGAGAUAUGUUUGCAGCGAGCUUCAUUUUCGUUUCUUGUAUAUGAGGUCCUCUUUUCCUUCUGUCUCUUUCAUCAGUUUUCCAUAGUGAUAAUGCUACUGUGCAUGGGUUGGCUUCAUGCAUGGUUUUGAUGAGUGAGGUUUUACAUCCUAUAGCGAAGGUAUGAAAGAGGAUAUGGCCUUGCUGGAUGGAUUUGCUUCGUAUAUGGUUUUCAUGAGCAACAUUUUUCGUCCUGCUGCAAAGAUAUGCAAUGAUAUAUCUCCCAGGAUGCUCACUCAGGGCAUGGGGUGAUCACUGUUUCUUCAGUUCCAGUCCUGCCUGAGCUUGUAGUGGUGGAGACAUAUUUUGUAGUGGGUAGUUCUCAAGAACUUGGAAAAUUUUGAUGGAUCUCAUUUAUGGUUGUCAGCUUUUUAGGUUCUUAAAGAAUUGCUUUUGGGUUUUGAGGGAUCUUCUGUUAUUGGUUUAGGUUUCUAAAAAUUUGUCAUGAUCUGCUUUUGUUUGAUGAUCUGCAGCCUUUGAUCUAGUGUUCUCUUUCAGAAUUUGGAAUAUUCUGUGAUUGAUUAAUAGCUUUCAGGUUGAUUUAGAACAUCUUGUUUUUGGUUGAAGCGCAAUGUCUGUUGCAUAGUCGUAAGUUGUUGGUGUUAUUAUAUCAUUUUGGUAUACUGACGAGUUAUGGUUUUGUGGAGCACCAGAGAAGUAUUGUUGACACAACCUUAGGGAGUUCCUGAUUUUCACAUCUAUGACCCUCUACAUGACAAAACACAAGCAAACACAGGCCCGGACGUCAGAGGACAUGGGCAUUCCCCAAUAAGCGUUUGAACGGGGUGACACAAUCCUCUACCAUGCCAAUAUGUUGAAUUAGUCGGGCAACCUAGUGAAUGAUAACACAUCACCAACAAUCCAAUGCAUGUUUUUUUCGCCUAAAAAAAGAAAAACAUGAUGAUAGAACAUUGACUUAAAUUAAGAUUAAGCUGGAAAUCCACAAGCAAACAAGACAGAUGGCAUAGACCACCAUGACAGCAAAAAAAUUGUGCAAAAGGACUCACCUUCCCUUGCACAAAUUCACAAUCGGAUCGAGCAAUGGUCACUUUGAGAACUACAUAGCGAUAAAUGGAUAGAGUUAAAAAUGCUUUGAGAGACGGGUGCUAUCCAACAGUAAAAUAGAUCAAUCAUUCUUUCAUGCGAAAGAUACAACCCAACCCCCCCUCUCCCCCCCCCGGAAGCACGACCAAAACUCUCAUCACAUUAAAAUACAACAGCAACCAUCCAUUUAGAACGAGAACAACACGUACCGAUACCAUCCUAUUAUAAUAUCAGUAUAUGAUACAAUAUGAAAUGGCAACAGGUACCAAAUGUUGAUACAGUACGAGAACAACAUACUGAUUCAAUAUCAGUAUGGUACAAUAAAUCCGACAUAGUACAGUACUGACCAGUACGGCAAAUUUUGAUCUAGACACUUAUGUAACUUAACAAAACUUCCAAGAGAACCAGAACAUCCACAUAAACAAAAUAGCCAUUCAGAAAAAAAAAAAAAGCAUUACAUUCCUUGAUCAUCAAAGAUUGCUUCCAAACGAGAUCACAAAUAUUACAUUCCUACUCGCCAAGAGAUAACUUAGUUAAGGCCUCAAACUUUCAGUUAGACUUCAUUAGAUCAAUCGCUCUCUUCAUAUUUUAUAUUAUUGAACCGUUUAGCCCCUAUAACAAAACAGAAUGAUAAUACGUUUAAUGUUGUCUUCAUAGGAUUUUAGUCUACCAUGGGCUUAGGACAACGAGACCUCAAACUAUGUAAGCAGUCUCGCGGAAAAGGCUUGGCUUUGUUAGUAGUGCCCGCCCAUUCUGUCUCGCCCGCCUUUCCGGUCCGUCCUUCAUAGGGCGCACGACAUGUCUACUCAACUGAUACCACUAGCCUUGCAUUGUGUGGACUUCCCUUCCCCAAUCCAGAACUAGUCGACCUUUCAUCACAAAUUCUUUCAUGAGCUGGUCCUCGCCUUUUAAAGCCGGGAUAAGGGCCUUGCUCGACUGGAAGGACAGGAUUGGUUUCAAACCGGAGGAAAGAAUGAAGUUCAGUGGAAUUUCCUUGCCUUGUAAUGAGCAAGAGUCGACUGACCUUGCUAUCUACGAGACAAGAUAGCUGGGUUGGGUGGGAUGUGAAGAAAUGGAAACCCGAUCCAGCAGUGAUCGAUGGAUUACCAUGAUAGCGAUGAAUAAAACUCUAGUUGCAUCGAAAUACAACACUAACCAUCCAUUCACAAAGAGAGAAAAAGAUAAGUACAAAAGAAGAAGAAAAUACAUCACCAACAGUCCAAUGCAUAUGAUUUUUUUGAAUGGAAAAAGGAUCACAGAACAAUGGCUUCAUAUACCAUAAAUGAUUGCUUGCCCACUCAAUGGAUUCAUCUUUCAUAUACUAUAAACAUACAAGCCAGAUGAUCAAAUUAAUAGGACACACAACAUAACUCUGCAUAUGGCAAAACACAAGAAGACACAGACCCAAACAUCAGAGGACAUGGGCAUUCACCAAUAAGCGUUUGAACGGGGUGCCACAAUCCUCUACCAUGCCAAUAAGUUGAAUUAAUUGGGCAACUUAGUUAUGUGUAAUCUGACAGUCAAGAUUUAGUGAAUGAUAAUUGCAUAGGCCACAAAAUCACUACACAAAAUGAAACCUCAGUAUUUUGCAUGGAAACAUCACAAUCUAGCAUCAAUGAUUAACGUUGAAUGUGCCUUUAAGAUGAAAAACCACAAGCAAACAAGAAGCAAAUAACAUGGACCACUACGACAGGAAUAAAAGAACCACCACAUGCAUAUGACCAAAACUCUACUCCCAUCAACAUACAUCACCAACAGUCCAAUGCAUGUUUUUCUUCCACAAAAAAGAAAAGAUGACUGUAGGACAAUGGUUUAAAUAUUGAGUCAAAUGGAAAAACCACAAGCAAACAGGACACAAAACAUGGAUUACCAUGAUAGCAAUAAAAGAGCCACCAUGCAAACAGACUAAAACUCAAGCUGCAUCAAAAUACAACACCAACCAUCCAUUCACAAAGAGAGAAAAAGAUAUGUACAAAAGAAGAAGAAAAUACAUCACCAACAGUCCAACGCAUAUGAUUUUUUUGAGCAGAAAAAGGAGCAUAGAACAAUGGCUUCAUAAUAAACGUGUCUAAGCUGGAGAACCACAAGAAAACAAGAAAGGGAUCACCAUAACAGCAAUCAAGGAAUCACCAAGAAUAACCAAAACUCUGCACGCAUUAAAAUAUAUCACCAACAGUCCAAUGCAUGUGUUUGUCUCCCAAAAGAGAAAAAUAAAUAAGAAAAUAAAGAUUCUGAAAAAGUAAAAAAAAUAUGAGUAUAGAACUAUAGCUCUGAAAACUGCAAGUAAACAAGAAAGAAAUUACCAUGACAUCAAUCAAAGUACCACCUUGCAUGCAUGACCAAAACUCUUUACUCGCAUUAAAAUACAUCACCAUUCAGUACAUGUGUUUUUCCCCCAAAAACUAAAGAUGUAUCGAUGUUAAAUUCCACAAAAAAGAAAAAAAAACAUAUUCACAAGUGUGUAUUUUUUUCUUAAAAGAGAGAAGAAGGGACAAGUAUAGCAUGAUAACUUAAUAUUGAAUGUCAUAGGAUGACAUAGCAUGCCAUGACAGCAAUAAAAGAACCAUAAUGCACACCCACAAGCAAAAUUCUACCUAAUGACUUAAUAUUAAUCACAAAUGACCUACAGCCGGAAAAGCACAGAAGAAGAACAAAAUAUGUAGCAAAGUAUAGAACAAUGGAUGAAUAUUAAAUGUGUCUAAGUUGAAGGACCACAAGCAAACAACAAACAAAAAAUCAUAAUGGUAAUUAUGGUACAAUACCUUCCAUAAGAACAACAAUCAAACUGAUUUGUCAAAUUCGAUGUAUCGAUCCAAUAGACUGCUUCCUGCUAAAGUAAAGGGAGAUACAACCCAACCAGCCCCCGACAAUAAAGAUAGUUGAAAACUUUUCACAUAGGUCUUUGUUUGAAAAGUUCAAGAUCAAAGGUUUUGCAGCAAUGUGACAAAGAAUAGAAAGCCACAAGAAUGAGUUGAAACUAAGUAAUAGUGAUGUACCUUCAAGAUGACUAGCAUACCAUAACAAUGGACAAUAUCAUGGUCUAUCUUGAUAGAGCCCAUGCAAAAAGCAUCAAACUCUACCCUUUGUGAACAGGAUACCAACCAUAAUUGAGAAGAAAUUAUCUUGAUAUAAUUUUUUCAAAAGCAUGCUUCCAAGAAAACAUCAAACAACAUAUGAAUCCCAAAACCUAAAAGUCUAUAUCUUUUAACAGUUCACAGCCUUCAAUGUCAUGGAAAGGCAGCUAAUGUACAGGUGUUAAUGAAAUGAUAACCAAAAUAACCAACCUCAGAAUGAAACACCAAAUAAACAUUUUUGAAGUAACAUACUAUCCCCUACCUAUCACAAAAGCAAACAGUGUGUAUGCUAAAAUUCUUGCACAAACUACAUUAUAUUCAAUAGCAUGAACCAAAAGUAUAUUCUGUGAACAAACUUCGAAUGGGCGGGGACAAGCAAGACAGAAUCAGAACAAGAUCACCUCAGUUAUGAAUUCCAAGUUUACAAUCUACCCAAAUUAACAAACAAGAUACUUAUUCAGAAGGCUAAUUAAAAAAAAAAAGUCAUAAAUCCUAUAAGAGGCAUUGAUCAGGUAUUUUCCAAAACUAAAAUGUAAAAAUCUGUCGAGCCCUAAAUCCGGGACAAAAUACAACCAUACUAUUGGGGGGUACAAUCCUUGAUAACAUGAAGCCAACAAUUAUAAUCUUAAAUAAAAUCAAAAAUCCAAAACUAUCAUUCAUGAAAUAACUAAAUAAAUGUUGGUUCAGAGCCACUAAAUCCAUAUUUAAAUAUCAAAAGGAGAGAAAGGGAAUAGUCAACGGUGAACCAAUACACCAGCAAUCAAGAGGAAAAAGAAGAAAAAGAAGGCACACGUGGCCAACGAUGUUGGAUGGUAGAUCCUCAAGGGGGUGGGAUGCCUUAAAUUGAGGUGGAGGGUUAGGAUUUCCUAGCCUCCAGCCUUCUAGACUUUGACUCCCAAUCAGAGUAGUCGAAGGAGUCUACUGUAACUAGGCACGUGCAAGGCAUGCACCUGACUUUCCUUUCUCUUUUUUUAUUUUCUUUUUUGUGGGCAAAGGGCGAUCUUAUUGAUGGGCUGGUCAAGUGGACCAGGCAACCACAAAUCAGCCUCAGUUAUGAAAGAAAUCUAUUAAAAUUUAAUCUGGUCCGAGUUCUUCAAAAUCUAUCCAAAUCAAUAACCAAGAUACCUAUUCAGAUGGUUAAGAGAAAGGAAUUUGUAGAUUCUACAUAAGUCAAAUUGGAUUACUAUGCCACGCUCUCAAGAGUCUGCAAAGAAACAAGAAACAAUAAUCAGCUUUGGUAAGAAGGCUACUAAAUAAAUGUCAUUUAACAAAAUAUGCAUAAUAAACUUUAAGGUAAACCCUCCCUUCAUCAGAAUUAUAUCUUGAGCCAACCACUUCAUACGACUGCUUCAGUCAAUAUUGAAGCUGCAGAAAUUUGCUGAUUGAUUCAGGGCACUGAUUGAAGAGGAUCGCUUAGCAAAAAAACAUGGAUAUAUUAACCAUAGUACAUGAUGAAAAUAACGGAAUUGAUGAUGAAAUCUUAGUGACAGGUAACUUCAAAAAAUCUAAAGAAGAAAGGAGAACCUUGACUCCAAGGGAAGAUAGAUGAAGCUCAAUAAAUGUCAUUUAACAAAAUAUGCAUAAUAAACUUCAAGGUAAAACCCCCCUUCAUCAGAAUUAUAUCAUGAGCCAAUUACUUCAUACGACUACUUCAGUCAAUAUUGAAGCUGCAGAAAUUUGCUGAUUGAUUCAGGGCACUGAUUGAAGAGGAUCACUUAGCAAAAAAAAUGGAUAUAUUAACCAUAGUACAUGAUGAAAAUAAUGGAAUUGAUGAUGAAAUCUUGGUAACAGGUAACUUCAAAAAAUCUAAAGAAGAAAGAAGAACCUUGACUCCAGGGGAAGACAGAUGAAACUCUUUGCAAAUAUCCAAAUCCAGAAUUUCCAGAAAAAUGAAAUUCCUAACAAUACUCUUUAGAUUGUAGCCCAAUGUGUGCAUAAGGAUCCACAUCUAUUCCCUGAUCAAAAGAUGACAUAUCUCACCAAAUCAUUUAGAUCACUGAAGCAUUGAGAUGAUAGAGCCCAGCAGACAAAUAAUACCAACAUCCAGUAGCAAAAGCUCCCCCCAAUGAAAAGAAUCUGCUACAGCAAAACCUCUAUGAAAUUCGACCAGAACAAGGAUAUUAAACUCUGCCCGCCAUAAAAACUGAUAAAGUAUCUUGAUUGAUCCACAUCAACAAAGAUAAGAAACACCCUUAGCUGAAACAUGAAACAUAACAUGAGCCAAAAAGGACAAGAAAGGAAAACAAGAGAUGAUGAAUUGAGAUGCGCAACAUGUUAAUUAAAGUGCCACUUACUAAACACUUGUAUCCAUCAACUUCGAUGACGCUCAUAAGUGGCAGUCUUUGUUCUGGUACAAUAUAAUCUGAAAGCACUAACAGAAAAAACUAUACCGAUGUCCAGAUCCCUAGAAACUGACAUCUACAUUGCCCAUAUAACUAAGAUAACUAAGAAGUGAAAGCUCAAAAAAAUGAGAGAGAAUAUAAUCUAAAAGAUGCUUCAAAUACGGUCAAACAAAAGCAAGACAAGAAGUCGAUGACUCCCAAGAUGCUCUGUAAGCACAAUCCCAGAAAAGCAAUUCUUUAAGUCAAUAGCAUUUCUUUAAGAACCCAAAAAGCUGACAACCAUGAAUGAGAUCCAUGAAAAUUUGACAAAGUCCAAGUUCUUGAGAACUACCCACUACAAAAUAUAUCUCCACCACUACAAGCUCAGGCAGGACUGGAAUUGAAGAAACACUGAAACAGUAAUCACUACAUGCCCUGAGUACAACCUGGGAAAUAUAACAUUUCAUAUCUUCGCAACAGGACGAAAAAUGUCGCUCAUGAAAAUCAUAUACGAAGGCAAUCCAUCCACCAAAUCCAUAUCCUCUUUCAUACCUUCUCUAUAGGAUGAAAAACCUCACUCAUCAAAACCAUGUAUGAAGAAAACCCAUGCACAGUAGCAUAUCACUAUGGAAAACUGAUGACUGGAUCAGCAUACUGAUGAAAGAGACAGAAGGAAAAGAGAACCUCAUACACAAGAAAAGGAAAUCAAGCUCGCUGCAACCAUACCUCAAUCCUACCAAUCCAUGUAGCUGUACCAAGGAGUUUGACUGGAUCACAAUCUUGAUUAAAGAAACAGAAGAAGAGGAGCAGUUGUCCAUCAUAUAAGAGAAUGAAACUCAUUACAAUCAACCAAAUUCAGAAUUUCUGAAAAUCCCCACCAGCUGUGACCCAAUGCGUAAACUAAAAGAAAAUUACCGGAUUGCCCAUUCAUGAAAUAAGGUGCAGGGGUUCUUUGCAUCCGUAGAGGAGGCUCAUCCAUGAUUGGGAAUCGGAAUGUCGGUACUUGACUGCAUCAUUAGACAUAAAAAGCUGGAACACAAUAACCGCAACAUACACGAUAACAAACAUUCUUAAAAAAAAGAAUCCUCUUGAGCAAAACCUGGGACUCCCGAAAAAGAAAAACCUCUUCAGAAAAGCCUCCUGCGAAACUUCAAUUAAAGCAAUGAUAAUAUUCUUGCCUGCUAGCGGGACUCAAGAAAAUGUGCCGCUUUAUGUACAUCAGUAUCAAAGAUAGGAAACCCCCGCAUUGAAGAUGAAAUCUUGACACUAGCACCUAUAUAUCGUUACUUUGGCUCAAGGCACCACAUCAGUAUGUUAUUCUUUAAAAAAGAAGGGGGGAGGGGGAGAUCCUGAGCAGCAAACAUCAUUCCACUGCUAAACAUAAAGCAACAAAAUGCUGAUAAAUAUCAUUAUUUAGUUAAUAAUUUUAGGAAAAAUAAAGAUUAUAUAACAAGACAAGCAUUGAGGGACCAAAAAGAUAAUAUAAACCACAAGUCAAUUUACUGAACAGCAUAUCCCAACUGGUUGAGUUGGAAAUUGAAACUGAAUUCAAUGUCAGAAAACUCGCAAAAAAGAAUUAAUUUUUAAGAACCUAGGUAGUGGGCAAGUCCCUGCCAAUAAGUCCGUGAUAGAAAAUACAAUGAUAUAGGAAAUAAAUAGACCUCACUGCACGAGAAAUGAGCUGCCAGGCCUAGAACUUAACAGGACAAAACUUAAAAGUACACAAACUAGUAAGAGUGAUACUUAGAAAAUCAUCAAGUCAAAUAUACCUCCAGAUCCCCAUGAAUUAGAGAAUCAUGCAAUGUCACAACAACCAAUAGGGAAAAAAAUUAAUAGACACAAAAAAUCAUCAAGUCAAAUGUACUUCCAGAUCCCAUGAAUUAGAGAAGCCUGCAAUGCCGCAACAACCACUAGGGAAAAAAAUUAAUAGACACAAUCCAUAUGAGAUUAGAAACAAACCCCUCUGUAAACAACUUUCUUUCAACUACAACCCUGCAAUAUUGUAUUUUGGUAUAUGAUGCCACAUUAGUCAAAGAUGAAACCGCGAUACUGUUAGACAAACAAAAGAAUCAUCAAGCAGUAAAGCCUAAAACAAUAACUGGAACAUGUGAACUAUAAAUGAAUAAACAAAACAUAUUGACCAAACGAACCACCCAAAAUGCUCCAAUUCCGACAAGAUCAUGGACAGAUUGCUUAUGAUAAGCAUUCAACCAGAAUAAAGAUUGGCAAAACAGUGAGAAUGCGAGACUCCACUAAAUCCCUAGGAAGAAGAAAAAGACCCCCACCAGCAUAGAGUUUUGCAAGGAUGAAAAAAUAAUAUGGGGUACAUAAUCAUUAAAAUCAUAUUUCCCCUCAUACAAUCAUAUCUUAACUCCUGCCAUAUCUUUGUUCUGAAAUAUGAUACUACCUUAGUCAAUAAUUAAAUCAAGAUAGUGAUGAACCAAAUAAAAAUAAUCACCAAGAAAUGUAGCCCAAAAGAAUAAUAAAAGCAGACAAGAAAGCCAAAAUUACUAGCCCAAGAAAAAUAUCAGGACAAAAUAGAACCACCUACUCGGUAGUUUCCCCUCUUAUAAGAACAUCUGCAAGAAUCUCUAGAACUAUCAUGAAAUCAAAAGGACAUCAAAAGAACUAUCUUAGUGAAGAACCCUUUAAACUAAGUAUAGCAGAUACAAUAUAAAAAACUGUGAGAGAGAGAGAGGGAGGGAGGAAGGUAGGAGAAAACAAAGAGAAAAUGUCUCUUUGUGCAUCAAACAUUUUCAAGCCAUACAGCAGCAAACAGAGUCAUGUCCAAACUAAGGACAUCUCAAGUUCUGAUUAGAAACUCCGUAUAGGUGCGGCCCUGAUAAUCCAAAAAAAAAGCUACAAAAAGGACAAUUCAUAAAAGGAUAAAAUUAAUGUAAUUUAGGAUAAGAAACAGAGCUCUUCCCCAAUAACUGAAAAUUUUAUAAUUCCAAACCUCAGCAAUCCACAGCACAAAGACCUACUGGCCAUCAGACUAAAUUUGGCAUACUUAUUGUAUCUCAAUCUCUAAGAGAAAUGAAAGAAAUCGAAUUUUGACAAACUCUUCCAACAUGCACAAGAAAUUGUCUGCCUUGUUUGCCAAGACUUGCAAAUUAUGAGAAUGGAUAUCUUGAGAUACAGUCAAGAAAUGAGGAGCAUCUCAACAUAGAGAGAUCAGUUAAAAAACAGAA